AGGACGAACGCUGGCGGCGUGCUUAACACAUGCAAGUCGAGCGGAAAGGCCCUUCGGGGUACUCGAGCGGCGAACGGGUGAGUAACACGUGAGUAAUCUGCCCCUAGCUCUGGGAUAGCCCCGGGAAACCGGGAUUAAUACUGGAUACGACCACCUUAGACAUCUUUUGUGGUGGAAAGAAUUUCGGCUAGGGAUGAGCUCGCGGCCUAUCAGCUUGUUGGUGGGGUAACGGCCUACCAAGGCGACGACGGGUAGCCGGCCGUGAGAGGGCGACCGGCCGACACUGGGACUGAGACACGGCCCACGACUCCUACGGGAGGGCAGCAGUGGGGAAGUAUUGCGCAAUGGGCGAAAGCCUGACGCAGCGACGCCGCGUGGGGGAUGAAGGCCUUCGGGUUGUAAACCCCUUUCAGCAGGGACGAAGCGAAAGUGACGGUACCUGCAGAAGAAGCGCCGGCUAACUACGUGCCAGCAGCCGC
Molecule: ribosomal RNA, 479 nt
Filed under: uncultured bacterium
Lineage: Bacteria
Description: SSU rRNA
Rfam family: Bacterial small subunit ribosomal RNA
Source: RNAcentral